This 478-nucleotide ribosomal RNA is filed under the name uncultured bacterium. RNAcentral describes it as "bacterial SSU rRNA". It matches the Rfam family "Bacterial small subunit ribosomal RNA", at positions 335 to 802 of the family's 1533-position model. The record is from RNAcentral.
ACUCCUACGGGAGGCAGCAGUGGGGAAUAUUGCACAAUGGGCGCAAGCCUGAUGCAGCCAUGCCGCGUGUGUGAAGAAGGCCUUCGGGUUGUAAAGCACUUUCAGUCGUGAGGAAGGUAGUGUAUUAAUNGGCCUGCUAUNUUUGACGUUAGCGAACAAGAAGAAGCGACCGGCUAACUCCGUGCCAGCAGCCGCGGUAAUACGGAGGGUGCGAGCGUUAAUCGGAAUUACUGGGCGUAAAGCGCAUGCAGGUGGCUUGUUAAGUCAGAUGUGAAAGCCCGGGGCUCAACCUCGGAAUUGCAUUUGAAACUGGCAGACUAGAGUACUGUAGAGGGGGGUAGAAUUUCAGGUGUAGCGGUGAAAUGCGUAGAGAUCUGAAGGAAUACCGGUGGCGAAGGCGGCCCCCUGGACAGAUACUGACACUCAGAUGCGAAAGCGUGGGGAGCAAACAGGAUUAGAUACCCUGGUAGCUACGAGU